UAUUACCGCGGCUGCUGGCACGGAGUUAGCCGGUGCUUCCUUUGAUGGUACCGUCAAAUACAGGCGAUAUUAACACCUGCACAUUUCUUUCCAUCUGACAGGAUUUUACGACCCAAGGGCCUUCAUCAUCCACGCGGCGUCGCUGCGUCAGGGUUGCCCCCAUUGCGCAAUAUUCCUCACUGCUGCCUCCCGUAGGAGUA
RNAcentral lists this ribosomal RNA (200 nucleotides) under uncultured bacterium. RNAcentral's name for it is "partial 16S rRNA". The record is from RNAcentral.